This 406-nucleotide ribosomal RNA is filed under the name uncultured bacterium. RNAcentral describes it as "partial 16S ribosomal RNA". It matches the Rfam family "Bacterial small subunit ribosomal RNA", at positions 29 to 526 of the family's 1533-position model. The record is from RNAcentral.
AUUGAACGCUGGCGGCAGGCCUAACACAUGCAAGUCGAACGAGUGGCGGACGGGUGAGUAAUGUCUGGGAAACUGCCUGAUGGAGGGGGAUAACUACUGGAAACGGUAGCUAAUACCGCAUACCAUCGGAUGUGCCCAGAUGGGAUUAGCUAGUAGGUGGGGUAAAGGCUCACCUAGGCGACGAUCCAUAGCUGGUCUGAGAGGAUGACCAGCCAAACGGGAACGGAGCAACGGCCAGGACCCCACGGGGAGGCAGAAUUGGGGAAUAUUGCAAAAUGGGCGCAAGCUUGAUGCAGCCAUGCCGCGGGUAUGAAGAGGGCCUUCGGGUGGUAAAGUACUUUCAGCGGGGAGGCGUUACCCACAGAAGAAGCACCGGCUAACUCCGUGCCAGCAGCCGCGGUAAUUC